UUUCUUGACCCAACUCGGCCUGGUAAGUCGAAAUAAGUGAUCGGAUGGGCGAUCGCCGACUCUUCUUCCUCGCGGUCGCACCGGCGACCCCGCCGUGCGUGAGCCGAUCCCUUCGCCGCUUAGGAGGAUUACAGCUUGCUGCCAAUGGCUACAAUACAGCAUUUCUUUGGGAUCUCCUUAACAAAUCUUCUUAAUGUUGAUCAUUGCCCCUUACCAAACAACCAGGACCGAAGGAUCUCACAGAUAUUGCCAGGAAUGCUGGUAGACUGGCAGGAUGAGCAAUUGCAUAUGUUCAAUUAGUUUGUAGGCAGUUGUUUUUAACAGAUGUGCCACCAUCUCAGGCUAGCAAGGUGCACAAAGAACUACAAGAUAGCAUUUCUUUAUUAGAAGCAAGGUUUUUAUGGAAGACAAAGCAUAUCAAUAGUGAACCUAGGUCUAUUUCCUCCGAGGAUGGAUGGACCAGAACAAAUGCAGAGCACUGGAUCUAAGCAGAGCAAAUUCAGUUUCUUAUGGUUUCCACAACCAGUCAAUGAGAUAUUCCAGGCUAGCUGAUGCUUCACUGUCCAGUCAGGUCCUUGUGAAAUUCAUGAAGAUGUGAUGGAACAUGAUGCUGAAGGUGACAUGCUGACUGUUCUUCCUGUGUCUGCUGAAACAGCAGGAUCACUUCCAAAGCAUGUCGGUAAACAUCCCUAGUCGCUGAUCGGAGCUGUGUGGAAAAUUAGGAUUCUCUCUGGCUGUGGGACAAAUAGGACAAUGAUAUGAUUGCUUUGCCGUGUGUUAGUGGGUCUUCUGGUGGCUUACUGUCAUGGUUGCCGUGUGUUGGCCCUUGAUGAUAUAGAUAUAUUUUCCUAUAUUUAUUGUACUGUACUUAUUGUUUCCACUCUGUCAUGGUUUUUUAACUACCUCUUUUACUGCAUGGUUUAUUUUCCUAUGUAUCUUUCGCUGUUUGCAACUUUAGUAGCUAUGAAUGAGUCUGGCUCUCCAAUCUCACUAUUGGAUAUUUUCGACA
Long non-coding RNA from Musa acuminata AAA Group (dessert banana), 1009 nucleotides. RefSeq lists it as uncharacterized. The record is from RefSeq and is a predicted model, not a curated record. Lineage: Eukaryota; Viridiplantae; Streptophyta; Magnoliopsida; Zingiberales; Musaceae. The transcript is spliced from 6 exons.